This 89-nucleotide transfer RNA is filed under the name Ciona intestinalis (vase tunicate). It matches the Rfam family "tRNA". From Rfam's summary of the family: Transfer RNA (tRNA) molecules are approximately 80 nucleotides in length. Their secondary structure includes four short double-helical elements and three loops (D, anti-codon, and T loops). The record is from Rfam by way of RNAcentral. Lineage: Eukaryota; Metazoa; Chordata; Ascidiacea; Phlebobranchia; Cionidae.
CCUUCGAUAGCUCAGUUGGUAGAGCGGUGGACUGUAGUUGAUAAGUGCCAGUAAUCCAUAGGUCGCUGGUUCGAAUCCGGCUCGAAGGA